This 468-nucleotide ribosomal RNA is filed under the name Streptomycetaceae bacterium 'ARUP UnID 643'. RNAcentral's name for it is "bacterial SSU rRNA". It matches the Rfam family "Bacterial small subunit ribosomal RNA", at positions 27 to 506 of the family's 1533-position model. Lineage: Bacteria; Bacillati; Actinomycetota; Actinomycetes; Kitasatosporales; Streptomycetaceae. The record is from RNAcentral.
GGACGAACGCUGGCGGCGUGCUUAACACAUGCAAGUCGAACGCUGAUCCGGUCYUUCGGGGCUGGUGAUGAGUGGCGAACGGGUGAGUAACACGUGGGUAAUCUGCCCCGCACUCUGGGAUAAGCCCGGGAAACUGGGUCUAAUACCGGAUAUGACCGAUGGUCGCAUGGCUGUUGGUGGAAAGCUUUUGCGGUGUGGGAUGGGCCCGCGGCCUAUCAGCUUGUUGGUGGGGUGAUGGCCUACCAAGGCGACGACGGGUAGCCGGCCUGAGAGGGUGACCGGCCACACUGGGACUGAGACACGGCCCAGACUCCUACGGGAGGCAGCAGUGGGGAAUAUUGCACAAUGGGCGGAAGCCUGAUGCAGCGACGCCGCGUGAGGGAUGACGGCCUUCGGGUUGUAAACCUCUUUCAGCAGGGAAGAAGCGUGAGUGACGGUACCUGCAGAAGAAGCACCGGCUAACUACGU